CCUACGGGAGGCAGCAGUGAGGAAUAUUGGUCAAUGGACGAGAGUCUGAACCAGCCAAGUAGCGUGAAGGAUGACUGCCCUAUGGGUUGUAAACUUCUUUUAUAAAGGAAUAAAACGAGGCACGUGUGCCUUUUUGCAUGUACUUUAUGAAUAAGGAUCGGCUCACUCCGUGCCAGCAGCCGCGGUAAUACGGAAGAUCCGAGCGUUAUCCGGGUUUGUUGGGUUUAAAGGGAGCGUAGAUGGGUUGUUAAGUCAGUUGUGAAAGUUUGCGGCUCAACCGCAAAAUUGCAAUUGAUACUGGCAGUCUUGAGUACAGUUGAGGUAGGCGGAAUUCGUGGUGUAGCGGUGAAAUGCUUAGAUAUCACGAAGAACCCCGAUUGCGAAGGCAGCUUACUAAACUGUGACUGACAUUGAUGUUCGAAAGUGUGGGUAUCAAACAGGAUUAGAUACCCCAGUAGUC
Molecule: ribosomal RNA, 460 nt
Filed under: uncultured bacterium
Lineage: Bacteria
Description: partial 16S ribosomal RNA
Rfam family: Bacterial small subunit ribosomal RNA
Source: RNAcentral